UUCUGUGCUCAUCAUAUGAA
This 20-nucleotide unclassified non-coding RNA is filed under the name Mus musculus (house mouse). RNAcentral's name for it is "oocyte_clustered_small_RNA9454". Lineage: Eukaryota; Metazoa; Chordata; Mammalia; Rodentia; Muridae. The record is from RNAcentral.